This 1412-nucleotide ribosomal RNA is filed under the name Lactiplantibacillus plantarum. Its description in RNAcentral is "bacterial SSU rRNA". It matches the Rfam family "Bacterial small subunit ribosomal RNA". The record is from RNAcentral. RNAcentral also lists the same sequence under 1 other name. Lineage: Bacteria; Bacillati; Bacillota; Bacilli; Lactobacillales; Lactobacillaceae.
GCAGUCGAACGAACUCUGGUAUUGAUUGGUGCUUGCAUCAUGAUUUACAUUUGAGUGAGUGGCGAACUGGUGAGUAACACGUGGGAAACCUGCCCAGAAGCGGGGGAUAACACCUGGAAACAGAUGCUAAUACCGCAUAACAACUUGGACCGCAUGGUCCGAGUUUGAAAGAUGGCUUCGGCUAUCACUUUUGGAUGGUCCCGCGGCGUAUUAGCUAGAUGGUGAGGUAACGGCUCACCAUGGCAAUGAUACGUAGCCGACCUGAGAGGGUAAUCGGCCACAUUGGGACUGAGACACGGCCCAAACUCCUACGGGAGGCAGCAGUAGGGAAUCUUCCACAAUGGACGAAAGUCUGAUGGAGCAACGCCGCGUGAGUGAAGAAGGGUUUCGGCUCGUAAAACUCUGUUGUUAAAGAAGAACAUAUCUGAGAGUAACUGUUCAGGUAUUGACGGUAUUUAACCAGAAAGCCACGGCUAACUACGUGCCAGCAGCCGCGGUAAUACGUAGGUGGCAAGCGUUGUCCGGAUUUAUUGGGCGUAAAGCGAGCGCAGGCGGUUUUUUAAGUCUGAUGUGAAAGCCUUCGGCUCAACCGAAGAAGUGCAUCGGAAACUGGGAAACUUGAGUGCAGAAGAGGACAGUGGAACUCCAUGUGUAGCGGUGAAAUGCGUAGAUAUAUGGAAGAACACCAGUGGCGAAGGCGGCUGUCUGGUCUGUAACUGACGCUGAGGCUCGAAAGUAUGGGUAGCAAACAGGAUUAGAUACCCUGGUAGUCCAUACCGUAAACGAUGAAUGCUAAGUGUUGGAGGGUUUCCGCCCUUCAGUGCUGCAGCUAACGCAUUAAGCAUUCCGCCUGGGGAGUACGGCCGCAAGGCUGAAACUCAAAGGAAUUGACGGGGGCCCGCACAAGCGGUGGAGCAUGUGGUUUAAUUCGAAGCUACGCGAAGAACCUUACCAGGUCUUGACAUACUAUGCAAAUCUAAGAGAUUAGACGUUCCCUUCGGGGACAUGGAUACAGGUGGUGCAUGGUUGUCGUCAGCUCGUGUCGUGAGAUGUUGGGUUAAGUCCCGCAACGAGCGCAACCCUUAUUAUCAGUUGCCAGCAUUAAGUUGGGCACUCUGGUGAGACUGCCGGUGACAAACCGGAGGAAGGUGGGGAUGACGUCAAAUCAUCAUGCCCCUUAUGACCUGGGCUACACACGUGCUACAAUGGAUGGUACAACGAGUUGCGAACUCGCGAGAGUAAGCUAAUCUCUUAAAGCCAUUCUCAGUUCGGAUUGUAGGCUGCAACUCGCCUACAUGAAGUCGGAAUCGCUAGUAAUCGCGGAUCAGCAUGCCGCGGUGAAUACGUUCCCGGGCCUUGUACACACCGCCCGUCACACCAUGAGAGUUUGUAACACCCAAAGUCGGUGGGGU